GCCGGGUGUGGCAGUACACGCCUGUAGUCUCAGCUACUCAGGAGGCUGAGGUUGGAGAAUCGCUUGAGCCCAGGAGUUCAAGACUGCAGUGAGCCAAGAUUGUGCCACUGCACUCCAGCCUGGGUGACAGAGUGAGAUCCUGUCUCAA
Callithrix jacchus (white-tufted-ear marmoset) is the source of this 148-nucleotide unclassified non-coding RNA. It matches the Rfam family "Metazoan signal recognition particle RNA". From Rfam's summary of the family: The signal recognition particle (SRP) is a universally conserved ribonucleoprotein. It is involved in the co-translational targeting of proteins to membranes. The record is from Ensembl. NCBI's taxonomy places the organism in Eukaryota, Metazoa, Chordata, Mammalia, Primates, Cebidae.